CUCCCCAGACCCCACCUGGUGGGAAUACACUGGGUAGUUGUUGUUGUUGUUGUUGUUGUUAUAAUAUUGAUUCAUAAAACAAAAUGUAUCUCAUUAAAUCUACACAAUCCAAAAAAGUACUAAUCCAAAAUAAUAAUGUCACAACUUUUAAAAUAAACUUGUAUUGAUUGACGUGAUAUGAUUAAUCCUAUCAAAUAAUAUCUUCAAAAGUUUCGGCAACUCUUUCUCAUAUUGAAAAUUUUUGAACAAAUGACCUGAAAAAAGUAAAAUAAACAUAUCAAAAUAUGGAAUAUAAUGUAUAAAACAUCAUGAGUCUACACAUCUAAAUAUAUUGUGAGUUCUCAAAACAAUGUAAAAAAUGAGGUUGCCUAAGAACUAGAGUACCAAAUUCAUCAUGGUUGAAGAUAUUGAAGUGUAGUUUCUAAUGAGACAAAUCGUUCUUUAAGUUGAAGCUUCCUACAUCGAAGUUAUAGUAUUAAAAUAGAAUCAAAAUAUUUUGUCUAUGCAAGAACAAAGAAUGAGAAAAGGAAUAUAAAUGAAUUAGCUAAUAUGGCAAAUGAAAUUUGUAGUAUCAGAAUACAACUUAGAUGUAACAUUAUGAAAAGAAAAAAAAAAAGAGCUAACAUCUGAUAAGAAUUCAAGAUGCUACCAUUUUAUAUAAACAAUAUUUGUCUGUCAUAAGAAUACAUGUUCUGUUGGUUAUAUACUUUUGAAGUAAACAGUGUGAGUAUGGUUAAUCUCAUCUUUUUGAUAUAAUUUGUACAGUUGCAUGUUACAAGUAUGGAAAAUGAGUGCAUUAACAUGAGGACGAAGAAGAUGAAUUUGCAAAUCAGCUUAAAAGAAAAUUAUUUCAAUAUAUGGAUUCAGUGAAGGACUUAGCAGUUCAAGAGAUUAUAAAAUAGCAGAGGCAAGUUACUGAUGUUAGUCUCCCAAGAAACUAGCAAUAGCAAAGUAAAAAGGUCAUGUUAUUCAGGUUGGACAUGGAAAGGAAGAAGAAAACAUCCUUAAUACUUCAAAAGGUUGUUUGUUGGUCAAGAAGUAAGCUACUAGUGGCAAAAAGAAGAAACAAAAGCAGUACAGGAAAACUGUAAGAGAAAUAUGAAACCUUUAAUAACUUUACUGAUUUUACGAAUAAUAAACCCAUAGAACUUGAAGGAUUAAAUGCAUAAGGAAUGUACUUCUUGUGACACAUACAACACCACCAUGCUCAUCCCAUGCAUUAUUCCGCCCCCUAUAGUACACAAAUAUGUAACCAUUUGGAGUGUAGUGUACUUGUAUGCUUGAGAUCAUGCACAAAUAUUUAAACCGUUGAACAAGUGAAUGCUCCAUUAGGUGUAAGUACUCUCUAACAUAAAGUUUUCUUCUAUAUGGAACUCAAACAUAGCAAUUAAUUGUCUUUCCGAGUCGUGGGUUCCGAUUAUUUAUUAGUAAUUUAGGCUCACGAAACUAUGAUUAUAUAGUCUGUACCUAAAAUAAUGAGUCAUCUUUUAAUAACUGUGGGAAAGAAGAUAUUUAACUACAAUGACAUAACAAUCAUUGCAACUGUGUAACUUAAAGAACAAGAACUCAUUAAAAUAAAGAACAUAUAGCUCAGAGAUCUAGUUAAACAUAACAGAAUCGAAUACAACUUUGGUGCCAGGAACGGAGGUGGCACUUCGCUGCUUGAUUUCGCCAGGGCUUCCGAGCUCCUGAUUGCGAACUCGUCAUUCCGGAAGAGGGAGGAGCAUUUACUCAUUAAAAUAAAGAACAUAUAGCUCAGAGAUCUAGUUAAACAUAACAGAAUCGAAUACAACUAAACAAGACUAUCCUAACUUCUAAGUAUACCUCCUGCCUACCAUCAUUUACAUGGGAUUUUUGAUUUUCAGAUUUAUGAAGAACAGAGAAAAUGAGUCUAAGCAAACAACAAUGUCAAUUCAUAAGAACUCUUAAAAUCCCUUUUUAUUGUAGUGUAUUAUGCAAUAUGUAUCCAAUAAUACUAUCUUGAUUCGAACAUUGUAAUUAAAGUUGGUUAAUCAAAUAUAAAGAAAAAAAGGUUCAACAGCAUAAAAUUGUCUACAGAAUUCUAUCUAUUAUCUCAAUUGAAAGAGGACAAGAGAACAUCUGUAAGCAUUUAUGUGAGCCAAGUGAAAUGGAAUAUAAUAAUUCAGUAUGGUAGGAAAGGUACCGAUUUACCAGCAAUUAUCAUCAUAGCCACAUUCGUGAAAUGAUUAGUAACUGCAAUAGCCACAAAAUUCUAAAUACAUUCAUUGUCAUAAUAGUCUCUUCCAUAAUCCAUCAGCUGCCGAAGUAUGUGUGUGGUUCUAGAGGACCUGAACAAGAAGAGGCAAAGAUAUUAGAUCUGGACACUGCAGAUUGCUCAGGAUGACUGUUUGGGUAACAAAACCGAGAAGGGUGAUUCAAGGAAAUGUUGAGAUAUAUGUAAAGCAAUGAUGAUAAAAUCCACACUUAGACCAUUAUGAGUCAAUGAGGGAGUCACAUCUGAGCCUAAUAAGCUAUUUCUGUAAUUAGUCUAUUUCUGUAAUUAGGCUAUUUCUGUAAUUAAACUAUUUCUGUAAUGGGUUAUUUUGUAUAUAUGCUGAAGGGUCGUUUGUACAAAGACUAAGGGG
RNAcentral lists this long non-coding RNA (2606 nucleotides) under Nicotiana benthamiana. RNAcentral's name for it is "long non-coding RNA (NBEN_LNC005967)". The record is from RNAcentral. Lineage: Eukaryota; Viridiplantae; Streptophyta; Magnoliopsida; Solanales; Solanaceae.